CCUGAUCGUCCUGCAGCAUCUUCACUAAAGUCUCCACUGCUUACUAUGACUCUGUUUUCUUACAGGGCUUUUCUGGAGUGAGGGAGCAGACUGAGGGAAGAACCAGAAGGCUGCCAAAAUACAAUUGUGUGCCUUUAAAGGAAAUAACAACAAGAAUUAGGAGCGCCCUGGAGGCAAGCACAGGUUGCAUACGUCGGGAAAAUGUAUGCACUUAAUUGUCACGGGUCAAGAAACUUAGCUGAUGGAGGUGAGAUGAUGAAGUGCUCUAAGAAGAUCACUCAGAAGAAAAGGAUGUGGACUAAUAUGAAAAGGAAGAUUUCCUACCUAGGAAACAGGAGAUCAGAGGAUAGAACAAGAAUCAGAGAACAGGUCUGCUUCUGGGGAAACAAAACCUCAGUAAUUUCAGAAAUAUAUACUUGGAGUAUGUCAUGUAUUAAUGGGUAAAGACGCCAUGGAUAUGAAGGAGAUUACCUAUGGAAGAAUAUUAAAAAGAGAAGAAGGUAAAGAAUCUUCUUUGAGGAACAUCCACAUUUAAAGGUCAUGGAGAAGAUAUAUCAGCAGGAGCAUCAGAGGGAGUUGUGGACAAAAUAUUUUCAAAAAUUAAGAUGUGAAGACCACUAGAAUUUGCUUAAAUGCUGUUGGAAAAAGAUAUCAUAGCAAACAGGAGUGUGAAAAUAUAGGUAAGUGAAAAGAGGAGUAUUCCCAAGGGAGUAAGAUAAAAUUGAAUCCAGGUCCUGAAUGCUGGGAUAAACUUUGCAAAAUAUUUGGUAGAUUGGGUCAUAGAAAACAGAGGAAGUUCUUCUAUGAUAUUUGGAUAAUUCUACAUUUGGAAAGAACAAGAUAAUGGAUUGUCUUUCUUCCUACUUUUACCUUACUGUUUGAGUACUGGCAUGAACAAAACUCAGAACAUAAUGAAUCUCACUUAUUUCCAAGUGGGCUACUCCAUUAUUUAAAAAAACACAUCACAUGGACAUGGAGUUUGAGGAGAUUUAUUCUAUUUAAUAUUAAAUUAGGCUUCCUUCCUCUAUUCAUCAAAUUGAACUGGAUAGAAUAGGAGUCCCUAAUCCAGCACCUCCAACUGGAGAAACAGUCUACUGAUUCUCACAGAUCUCAUGUCUUGCUUUGUGUAGAUAAUUUUCAUAUGGAUUAUAAUGAAUAAUAUUAAUUUAAAUAAUUCCCUAGAAGCCUAAAACAUUUUGUUUGAAGCUCUUCUUUGUCCAACUAAAAAUAACAUCUGGUCUACAAGGCUACCAUCAUAAUUGAGUUCUACAUCUCCAGUCACAACUAGAACCAAAAUUACAGUGAACAUAAAAUAAUUCUUUAUCUCUUGGUUCCAGAUUUUUCUGAGUUAUUUAUACCUCUCUAUUAUGGUCUCAUGUUCCUUUCUGUUACAGAGUUUCAGCCUAUGUUGAGUCAAGCAAUUAUAGGGCUGCUUAAACUCUGGUUCAUUAGCCAUGGUCCACUAGCAUCCAUGUCAUGGCGCUAGGGUUUAAUAUGGUUAAUAGGAUCCUGGAUGAGGAAGUAUAUUGAAAAUUAACUUUAAAUUAAACAUAAACACUAAAAAUUAUUAGAAGCAUUAAAAAAUAAAUUUUUCCUUAUAUGGGUUAGAAAAUCUGAC
This is a long non-coding RNA of Piliocolobus tephrosceles (Ugandan red Colobus), 1618 nucleotides long. The record is from Ensembl. NCBI's taxonomy places the organism in Eukaryota, Metazoa, Chordata, Mammalia, Primates, Cercopithecidae.